UGGGGAAUAUUGCACAAUGGAGGGAACUCUGAUGCAGCGACGCCGCGUGAGUGAUGAAGGACUUCGUUUCGUAAUACUCUGUUCUAUGGGAAGAAAAGGACUGUACCAUAGGAGAAAGCUCCGGCUAAAUACGUGCCAGCAGCCGCGGUAAUACGUAUGGAGCGAGCGUUGUCCGGAAUUAUUGGGCGUAAAGGGUGCGCAGGCGGCUUUACAAGUUGGAUGUGAAAUAUUGUGGCUCAACCACAAACGUGCAUCCAAAACUGCAAAGCUUGAGUUAAGGAGAGGUAAGUGGAAUUCCUGGUGUAGCGGUGGAAUGCGUAGAUAUCAGGAGGAAUACCGGUGGCGAAGGCGACUUACUGGACUUAAACUGACGCUCAGGCACGAAAACGUGAGGAGCAAGCAGG
This 404-nucleotide ribosomal RNA is filed under the name Fusobacteriota bacterium. RNAcentral describes it as "Fusobacteria bacterium partial 16S ribosomal RNA". It matches the Rfam family "Bacterial small subunit ribosomal RNA", at positions 355 to 776 of the family's 1533-position model. Lineage: Bacteria; Fusobacteriati; Fusobacteriota. The record is from RNAcentral.